GGGCUCGUGGUCUAGUGGUUAUGACGGCUGUCUCACACACAGCAGGUCGGGAGUUCGAUCCUCCCCGGGCCCA
Molecule: transfer RNA, 73 nt
Filed under: Methanobacteriota archaeon
Lineage: Archaea; Methanobacteriati; Methanobacteriota
Description: Euryarchaeota archaeon (groundwater metagenome) tRNA-Val
Rfam family: tRNA
About the family: Transfer RNA (tRNA) molecules are approximately 80 nucleotides in length. Their secondary structure includes four short double-helical elements and three loops (D, anti-codon, and T loops).
Source: RNAcentral